UGCGCCACUUGUCGCUUUUAA
Molecule: non-coding RNA, 21 nt
Filed under: Caenorhabditis elegans
Lineage: Eukaryota; Metazoa; Nematoda; Chromadorea; Rhabditida; Rhabditidae
Source: RNAcentral